This 301-nucleotide ribosomal RNA is filed under the name uncultured bacterium. Its description in RNAcentral is "partial 16S ribosomal RNA". It matches the Rfam family "Bacterial small subunit ribosomal RNA", at positions 509 to 807 of the family's 1533-position model. The record is from RNAcentral.
CAGUCGCCGCGGGAAUACGUAGGUGGCAAGCGUUGUCCUGAAUUAUUGGGCGUAAAGGGCUCGCAGGCGGUUUCUUAAGUCUGAUGUGAAAGCCCCCGGCUCAACCGGGGAGGGUCAUUGGAAACUGGGAAACUUGAGUGCAGAAGAGGAGAGUGGAAUUCCACGUGUAGCGGUGAAAUGCGUAGAGAUGUGGAGGAACACCAGUGGCGAAGGCGACUCUCUGGUCUGUAACUGACGCUGAGGAGCGAAAGCGUGGGGAGCGAACAGGAUUAGAUACCCCCGUAGUCCCUGUCUCUUAUAC